CACUUGACAGUACAUCAGCAUGGAGGAGAUGAGGCCCAGGACCUGGAGGAGAAAGAGGAGGGUGUUACCCAGAUGGACUGAGCGGACGUCCCCUCCCCCUCUGGGCACUACCUGGCUACAGUGACCAGCUGCCCCCUUAUCCCCUGGGGCUUUAGCGGCUGGAUUCAGAAAAGCAGCCUGACUCCCUCUGGGAACUGCCAGGCAGGACCCCCUGGAGGAGUAACCCGAGGGGGCAGGAGGCCGGGGGAAGAAUCCUUAGUGAGGUUGCAGGAACUCGUGCCCACGGCAGGCGCCUGGCCAGGCUUACAGUGAAACCCGCGCUGGUGCUGGACACAGAACAGCAGCUCACAGGCAGGGGAAGGUUGGACAAAGGCCUGCGGGAGCGACCAGGAGACCCAAUCCCACCCGGAGCUGCAGCCGGCCGGGGAUGUUACUAGUAACCAGAAGGGUUUCGUCAGGGGAAGGAGAAGGAUCCGGGGAACUACACAGGCCAGUGAGCCUCACCUCAGGCCCUGGCAAAAUCAUGGAGCAGGUCCUCCAGGAACCAAUCCUGAAGCACUAGGAGGAGAGGAAAGUGAUCGGGAACAGUCAGCGUGGAUUCACCCAGGGCAGGUCACGCCUGAGGAGCUGACUGGCUCUGUGAAUGAGGGGAAAGCAGCGGACGGGUUAUUCCUUGACUUUAGCAAAGCUUUUGAUCGUCUCCUACCGGCAAGUUACAGACGUAUGGGCUGCAUGAAGGGACUACAAGCUGGCUAGCUCGUCGGGCUCAACGGGAAAGGAUCAACGGCUCCAUGCCUAGCUGGCAGCCGGGAUCAGGCGGAGCCCCAAGGGUCAGUCCCGGGGCUGGUUUUGUUCAAUAUCUUGGGGUGGAUGGU
Non-coding RNA from Chelonoidis abingdonii (Abingdon island giant tortoise), 875 nucleotides. NCBI's taxonomy places the organism in Eukaryota, Metazoa, Chordata, Testudines, Testudinidae. The record is from RefSeq and is a predicted model, not a curated record.